Molecule: ribosomal RNA, 253 nt
Filed under: uncultured bacterium
Lineage: Bacteria
Description: partial 16S ribosomal RNA
Rfam family: Bacterial small subunit ribosomal RNA
Source: RNAcentral
UACGAAGGGGGCUAGCGUUGCUCGGAAUUACUGGGCGUAAAGGGCGCGUAGGCGGUUUGGACAGUCAGGCGUGAAAUUCCCGGGCUUAACCUGGGGGCUGCGCUUGAUACAUCCAGGCUUGAGUGGGGAAGAGGGUCGUGGAAUUCCCAGUGUAGAGGUGAAAUUCGUAGAUAUUGGGAAGAACACCGGUGGCGAAGGCGGCGACCUGGUCCUUUACUGACGCUGAGGCGCGAAAGCGUGGGGAGCAAACAGG